Molecule: long non-coding RNA, 789 nt
Filed under: Zostera marina
Lineage: Eukaryota; Viridiplantae; Streptophyta; Magnoliopsida; Alismatales; Zosteraceae
Description: long non-coding RNA (ZMAR_LNC002628)
Source: RNAcentral
UAAUUUCUAAAAUAUUUAUAGGAAAUUUUUUCAUUUUAGAAGACGCCUAUUGAAGGUCUUACACAUUCAUAUAACCUGAAAAAAGCAUUCAAACAUAUAUUGAUAGACAUUUCAUUCAUACACAUUUCAUUCCAAAACAUUCCAUUCAUACACAUUCAUAUAUUGAUAGACAUCAAUUCCAAAACAUUCCAUUCAAUUCUUCAAUUCUAUACCAUUCCAAAAGAUAAAAGAAAAUGAAUGAAUUCUAAACCAUUCUAAACCAUUCCAAUUCCAUACCAUUCCAAUUUUCAUACAAUUCAUGUCAUUUAAAACAAAACUAAACGAAAAGAUAAAUAAAGAGGAACCUAUUUGUUAGUGUCGGUCAUGCUCUUAGUCGCGCUAUUCGUCCCACUUUUAGUCGGACUUUGACUCGCUUUUUUGCCAACAUUUUCGACAUUUGAAUCUCUUGUAGUAGGCGUGAUUAUGUUGUCGCGUCCUUGGCUCGACUGACCCUAAUGUAAAAAAAAUUGAAAUUAUAAAGAAAAUAUGAAUAUUGAUUUAUAUAUAAAUGCUAAUUACCUCAAUCGUCUCUCGACGUAAGUCUUCCCUUAGUUCCUUUAGUAUAUCCGGCAUCUGUUUUCUAAUGGCCUCUUGAACUGCCCGAUCAAAGUCUUCUUUACUUUUUUGUUGUUGAAUUUCUAUAUAAUUCGUCGUUGUGUUCUGUGAAGUCGCCAUAUUAUCAGGAAUUGGUAAUGGCAUUGGAUUACUUGCUCUGGUUCCAAGCACACGACCUUUGUUUUUUCCGUUAGN